AGAGUUUGAUCCUGGCUCAGAUUGAACGCUGGCGGCAGGCCUAACACAUGCAAGUCGAGCGAGAAAGCACUUCGGUGUGAGUACAGCGGCGGACGGGUGAGUAACGCGUAGGAAUCUACCCAGUAGUGGGGGACAACAGUCGGAAACGGCUGCUAAUACCGCAUACGCCCUAUGGGGGAAAGCGGGGGACCUUCGGGCCUCGCGCUAUUGGAUGAGCCUGCGUAAGAUUAGCUAGUUGGUGAGGUAAAGGCUCACCAAGGCGACGAUCUUUAGCUGGUCUGAGAGGAUGAUCAGCCACACUGGAACUGAGACACGGUCCAGACUCCUACGGGAGGCAGCAGUGGGGAAUAUUGCACAAUGGGGGAAACCCUGAUGCAGCCAUGCCGCGUGUGUGAAGAAGGCCCUAGGGUUGUAAAGCACUUUCAAUUGGGAGGAAAAGCUUGUCGUUAAUAGCGGCAAGCCCUGACGUUACCUUUAGAAGAAGCACCGGCUAACUCCGUGCCAGCAGCCGCGGUAAUACGGAGGGUGCGAGCGUUAAUCGGAAUUACUGGGCGUAAAGCGCGCGUAGGCGGUUGCCUCAGUCGGGAUGUGAAAAGCCCCGGGCUUAACCUGGGAACUGCAUCCGAUACUGGGCGACUAGAGUACGAGAGAGGGGGGUAGAAUUCCACGUGUAUCGGUGAAUGCGUAGAUAUGUGGAGGAAUACCAGUGGCGAAGGCGGGCCCCUGGCUUGAUACUGACGCUGAGGUGCGAAAGCGUGGGAGCAAACAGGAUUAGAUACCCUGUUAGUCCACGCCGUAUACGAUGUCUACUACCCGUUGGGAAACUUGAUUUCUUAGUGGCGCAGCUAACGCCUAAUAAACCGCCUGGGGGGGUCCGGCCGCAAGGUUAAAACUCAAUAGAAAGUGAACGGGGGACGCAACAGCGGUGGGAGCAUGGUGGUUUGAAUUCGAUGCAAUCUCAUAUAAAACCCUACCAGGAAUUUGCCAUCCACAACAACCUUUUCUAGAGAAAAAAAUGGUUGGCUUUCGGGAACUUCUGAAAACGGGAGCUGCAAUGGAGCUGAAGCUCAGCUCCGGGCGCUGGGAACGUUUGGGGUAAAUUAUCAGUUAACCGAGUGCACCAAACCCUCUGGGCUCCCG
This 1140-nucleotide ribosomal RNA is filed under the name uncultured bacterium. Its description in RNAcentral is "bacterial SSU rRNA". It matches the Rfam family "Bacterial small subunit ribosomal RNA", at positions 8 to 1120 of the family's 1533-position model. The record is from RNAcentral.